AGUGAACGCUGGCGGUAGGCCUAACACAUGCAAGUCGAACGGCAGCACAGUAAGAGCUUGCUCUUACGGGUGGCGAGUGGCGGACGGGUGAGGAAUACAUCGGAAUCUACUUUUUCGUGGGGGAUAACGUAGGGAAACUUACGCUAAUACCGCAUACGACCUACGGGUGAAAGCAGGGGAUCUUCGGACCUUGCGCGAUUGAAUGAGCCGAUGUCGGAUUAGCUAGUUGGCGGGGUAAAGGCCCACCAAGGCGACGAUCCGUAGCUGGUCUGAGAGGAUGAUCAGCCACACGGGAACUGAGACACGGUCCAGACUCCUACGGGAGGCAGCAGUGGGGAAUAUUGGACAAGGGGCGCAAGCCUGAUCCAGCCAUACCGCGUGGGUGAAGAAGGCCUUCGGGUUGUAAAGCCCUUUUGUUGGGAAAGAAAAGCAGCAGGUUAAUACCCCGCUGUUCUGACGGUACCCAAAGAAUAGCACCGGCUAACUUCGUG
RNAcentral lists this ribosomal RNA (491 nucleotides) under uncultured bacterium. Its description in RNAcentral is "partial 16S ribosomal RNA". It matches the Rfam family "Bacterial small subunit ribosomal RNA", at positions 29 to 507 of the family's 1533-position model. The record is from RNAcentral.